This 1046-nucleotide ribosomal RNA is filed under the name uncultured crenarchaeote. Its description in RNAcentral is "bacterial SSU rRNA". It matches the Rfam family "Archaeal small subunit ribosomal RNA", at positions 314 to 1362 of the family's 1478-position model. Lineage: Archaea; Thermoproteati; Thermoproteota. The record is from RNAcentral.
CGCGGGAUUGGACGGGGUGCAGCAGGCGCGAAACCUUUACAAUGCACGAAAGUGUGAUAAGGGAAUUCUAAGUGCUCAUACAAAGUAUGGGCUUUUGCCAAGGGUAAAUACCUUGGCGAAUAAGUGGUGGGCAAGACUGGUGCCAGCCGCCGCGGUAACACCAGCGCCACGAGUGGGAAUCAGAUUUAUUGGGCCUAAAGCGUUCGUAGCCGGUUUAGUAAAUCCUUUGUGAAAUUGUUAAGCUCAACUUAGCAGCGUGCAGAGGAAUACUGCUAAACUAGGGACCGGGAGGAGCAUGAGGUAUUCCUUGGGGAGCGGUAAAAUGUUAUAAUCCUUGGAAGACCACCUGUGGCGAAGGCGUCAUGCUAGAACGGAUCCGACGGUGAGGGACGAAAGCCAGGGGAGCGAUCCGGAUUAGAUACCCGAGUAGUCCUGGCCGUAAACUCUGUGAAUUAGGUGUUGCACAUUCUCCGUGAAUGUGCAGUAUCGUAGCGAAGGCGUUAAAUUCACCGCCUGGGGAGUACGGUCGCAAGGCUGAAACUUAAAGGAAUUGGCGGGGGAGCACUACAAGGGGUGCGGCGUGCGGUUUAAUUGAACUCAACGCCGGAAAUCUCACCAAGAGCGACUGCAGGAUGAAGGUCAGAUUAAAGGUUUUACCUGACACGCAGAGAGGUGGUGCAUGGCCGCCGUCAGCUCGUGCCGUAAGGUGUCCAGUUAAGUCUGGCAACGAGCGAGACCUAUGUUUACAAUUGCUAAUGUUUUUUUUCGAAGGCAUGCACAUUGUGGAGACUGCCUUGGAAACAAGGAGGAAGGUAUAGGCAACGGUAGGUCUGUAUGCCCCGAAUCUCUUGGGCUACACGCGCGCAACAAUGGUAUAGACAAUGGGAUGCAACUCCGAGAGGAGAAGCUAAACCUCGAAACUAUAUCUCAGUUCAGAUUGAGCUUUGAAACCCAGGCUCAUGACGACGGAAUCCCUAGUAAUCGAAAGUCAUUAUCUUUCGGUGAAUAUGUCCCUGCUCCUUGCACGAAUUCGCCGAAUCACUAGU